Molecule: ribosomal RNA, 446 nt
Filed under: uncultured bacterium
Lineage: Bacteria
Description: bacterial SSU rRNA
Rfam family: Bacterial small subunit ribosomal RNA
Source: RNAcentral
GGCCAGACUCCUACGGGAGGCAGCAGUGGGGAAUAUUGCACAAUGGGGGAAACCCUGAUGCAGCAACGCCGCGUGGGUGAAGAAGUAUUUCGGUAUGUAAAGCCCUGUCAGCAGGGAAGAAAAUGACGGUACCUGAAGAAGAAGCCCCGGCUAACUACGUGCCAGCAGCCGCGGUAAUACGUAGGGGGUAAGCGUUAUCCGGAUUUACUGGGUGUAAAGGGGGCGCAGACGGCGAUGCAAGCCAGGAGUGAAAGCCCGGGGCCCAACCCCGGGACUGCUCUUGGAACUGCGUGGCUGGAGUGCAGGAGGGGCAGGCGGAAUUCCUGGUGUAGCGGUGAAAUGCGUAGAUAUCAGGAGGAACACCGGUGGCGAAGGCGGCCUGCUGGACUGCAACUGACGUUGAGGCCCGAAAGCGUGGGGAGCAAACAGGAUUAGAUACCCCAGUA